CAAGAAUUAUUGGUUAGCACACCUGGCUUCUCCAUGCAUCAAGAGAAACAGACAGUGAAGGAUAUAUCUUCCCUUUUUAGCUUUCAAUUGUCUUCUGGCAUUAGAAUGAAGCAAUUGGAAUCUGACCAGCUGAAGGAAAGCCUUUUCUGCAGCCAGGUAAACACCCAGGAAUGACUUAAGAGACGCUCCACCAGUACAGGCCUCAGCACAGAGUAAGGGUAAGCCAAGCAUACCAUGGAUAAGGAAAGUUCAUGCACUAGGCCAACAGAAGUAUAGUGAGGGUUUAUCCUUUGGCUUUUAGAGUUCUGUCCUGAUUGUGAAAAUUGUGGUUGGAAUUUGAAUUUAGUUCAAGUUUGGUUAAAAUUAUCUUGUCCUGCCUGACCUGAAAAUUGUCCAAUUUGUCUGGAGCUCUUGUCAAUUACAAAAUACAAAAUGACAAAAUCUUGUCUUUUGCAGAAGCCCUGGAACUUUCCCUGAAAUUCUGGGCUGGCUGCCUUCCAGCUGUGAACCAGCUGUGGGGUUCCAGCCCUACAGUGCUAACCCCUCCAAGUUUAUUUUACAAGUGAUCCAUGCUUGUCUCAAGUAGACUGUGCACAAAGAGUGGUUUGGUUACAAAAGAUUUUGAGAGCAAUCCAUACAAUAAUCUGAAUGCAUGCAAGAAUGUUAUCCUGUAGCUGAAUUUAGAGGGAAAAACCCAUCCACUUUUACAGCAUGAGCUAAUGUUUACUAUUGUUAUUAUUAGUGGCCAAAUAAAGUGACAAUUUGCAGCUGACAGAAGUCCAGAGUAAGUAAAAUCAGUCUGAGAUCUGAACCUCAAGUGAUCUGCUUGGCAAUGGUACACAGUUCUCAUCUGGCUGUGUUUUAUGUGCUCUUUACAAAGGUAUCAGUGACCACCUAGUGUGCUAAAUACUGGUCACUCAGCCUUUGGAAUUCAGUUCUCCUCACUAAACUGCCUUCAGGUUUUGAAAAAUCCUUUAGGUCUGUAUCAAGGUCCAUUGUAGAGACCCCAGAAGUGACCUGCUCCAUGGAAUGGUUCUUGGCAGUGACAACACUUGUGUAUGACUGAAUAAGAAAACUGAUCCAGAUGAAUGCACUUACAACAUGCUAUGCAGAAUCAGCUGAAUCCUUUCUAGGUAAUACCAAAUGUGAAAUUCAGAUAGGUGUAACUAAAUUUUGUUACUAGUUUAUAAAUCAUUCUAUGUAUUGUUAUACUGAUAAUUUAUUUGCAAAAGAAAAUGCGGCUCUGCAUGUUUUAUGUUUGUGGUUUGGGAUUAAAACAGGACAAGUGCUUAGCAGGCUUGGCUUGUUUUCUGGAAAUGUUUAUACAGAGGGACAGUCAUAUAGUAUAUCCUCCUUACUAUCCUAU
Molecule: non-coding RNA, 1366 nt
Organism: Cyanistes caeruleus (blue tit)
Lineage: Eukaryota; Metazoa; Chordata; Aves; Passeriformes; Paridae
Source: RefSeq, a predicted model, not a curated record